GGGGAAGUGUCUUCUGGGUGCCAAUUUUACCCAGUCCUGAGGCCUGGCUGUCAGCCUGCUGCCCUGGGGAUCCUGCAGACGCCUCGGUGCUGAGGACAUAUGGAAUAGUGGGCUGUCCUGCAUUUUCAUCUUGUCCUUGAUUCUUUCUUUAUUCUAGAAAUUACCUCCCUGUCUUAUAGAGCUGUAUCCAGACAUGAAAGA
This 201-nucleotide long non-coding RNA is filed under the name Homo sapiens (human). RNAcentral's name for it is "HSALNT0137664". The record is from RNAcentral. Lineage: Eukaryota; Metazoa; Chordata; Mammalia; Primates; Hominidae.